This 462-nucleotide long non-coding RNA is filed under the name Homo sapiens (human). Its description in RNAcentral is "HSALNT0238157". Lineage: Eukaryota; Metazoa; Chordata; Mammalia; Primates; Hominidae. The record is from RNAcentral.
UGGCAGCAGCAGCUUUGAGGGCGUUGAUGGGCUGCUGGUCGGAGGUGAGAAGGCCACCAUGCAGAACCUCAAUGACCGCCUGGCCUCCUACCUGGACAAGGUGCGUGCUCUGGAGGAGGCCAACGCCGACCUGGAAGUGAAGAUCCAUGACUGGUACCAGUGGCAGCGGCCUGCUGAGAUCAAAGACUACAGUCCCUACUUCAAGACCAUCGAGGAUCUGAGGAACAAGAACAUAAUGGGAUGGUGAGUGCAGACGACACACACGGCCUCAGUCUAUGGGAACAUCUCAAAGGAGUUCGUCUGCAAAUUCUAGUGCAUCUAGGCAGAACACAGGAAGGAAGAGAGGUGCAGACUUACGUAUGGCCCUGGGGCACCUGCCAUCCCCUCGAGCCUGUAUGGUCCUUACCCGCCCAUCCCCAGCUUGAGUUCUGGGCCUUCUCGCCAGCACAUCGUUGGGACCUG